This 260-nucleotide long non-coding RNA is filed under the name Bos mutus (wild yak). Its description in RNAcentral is "lncRNA (ENSBMUG00000007981.1)". Lineage: Eukaryota; Metazoa; Chordata; Mammalia; Artiodactyla; Bovidae. The record is from RNAcentral.
CUCGAGUGGAUUUCCACGCGGAAAGGAUGUUGGCGGUCCCGGUGACCUGCGGAGACACGGUUGGAGCCACCUUUCUCGAUACUCAGCCGCCUGCGUGGGGACUGAUGCUGGUGGAAGCAGGCUCUCAGGGACACACACCGGCCACACUUCUGGAUGCUCAUGGUGGUUUUAGGAGGGCCCUGGCUGAGCACCUCAUGGAUUCCUGCAGCCUGGAUGAAGACAGGAGACAGAGGACCGAUGCUUCCUGCCUUUCUCACUGA